This 425-nucleotide ribosomal RNA is filed under the name uncultured bacterium. RNAcentral describes it as "bacterial SSU rRNA". It matches the Rfam family "Bacterial small subunit ribosomal RNA", at positions 356 to 773 of the family's 1533-position model. The record is from RNAcentral.
GGGGAAUUUUGGACAAUGGGGGCAACCCUGAUCCAGCCAUGCCGCGUGCAGGAUGAAGGCCUUCGGGUUGUAAACUGCUUUUGUCAGGGACGAAAAGGACCGUGUUAAUACCAUGGUCUGCUGACGGUACCUGAAGAAUAAGCACCGGCUAACUACGUGCCAGCAGCCGCGGUAAUACGUAGGGUGCAAGCGUUAAUCGGAAUUACUGGGCGUAAAGCGUGCGCAGGCGGUUCUGUAAGACAGAUGUGAAAUCCCCGGGCUCAACCUGGGAAUUGCAUUUGUGACUGCAGGACUAGAGUUCAUCAGAGGGGGGUGGAAUUCCAAGUGUAGCAGUGAAAUGCGUAGAUAUUUGGAAGAACACCAAUGGCGAAGGCAGCCCCCUGGGAUGCGACUGACGCUCAUGCACGAAAGCGUGGGGAGCAAAC